UCAAAAACAUGUCUUUUUGUAAUUUAUUUAAAGUCUAACCUGCCCAUUGAAUAAUUUUUAAAAGGCUGCGGUAUUUUGACCGUACAAAGGUAGCAUAAUCAUUAGUUUUUUAAUUGAAAACUCGUAUGAAUGGUUGAACGAAAUAUUUUCUGUUUCAUAAAAAUUUAUAUAGAAAUUAAUUUUUUAGUUAAAAAGCUAAAAUAUCUUUAAAAGACGAGAAGACCCUAUAGAGUUUUAUAUAAAUUAAAUUAUAAUUUAUUUAUAAUAAUUAAAAUUUUAUUUUAUUUUAUAUUUUGUUGGGGUGACAGUAAAAUUUCAUAAUCUUUUAUUAUUUUUUAACAAUGAUUUUUGAAUAAUUGAUCCAUUUUUAAUGAUUAAAAGAUUAAAUUACCUUAGGGAUAACAGCGUAAUUUUUUUGUAGAGUUCUUAUCGAUAAAAAAUUUUGCGACCUCGAUGUUGGAUUAAGAAUAAUUUUAGGUGUAGAAGCUUAUUAAUUAGGUCUGUUCGACCUUUAAAUUCUUACGUGAUCUGA
This 532-nucleotide ribosomal RNA is filed under the name Katatopygia sahlbergi. Its description in RNAcentral is "partial 16S ribosomal RNA". It matches the Rfam family "Bacterial large subunit ribosomal RNA", at positions 1807 to 2608 of the family's 2925-position model. Lineage: Eukaryota; Metazoa; Arthropoda; Insecta; Diptera; Mycetophilidae. The record is from RNAcentral.